ACGGAAGGUCCGGGCGUUAUCCGGAUUUAUUGGGUUUAAAGGGAGCACAGGCCGGCUGUCAAGCGUGUUGUGAAAUGUAGGCGCUCAACGCCUGACUUGCAGCGCGAACUGACGGUCUUGAGUGCGCGCAACGUUGGCGGAAUUUGUCGUGUAGCGGUGAAAUGCUUAGAUAUGACGAAGAACUCCGAUUGCGAAGGCAGCUGACGGGAGCGUUACUGACGCUUAAGCUCGAAAGCGCGGGUAUCGAACAG
Molecule: ribosomal RNA, 251 nt
Filed under: uncultured bacterium
Lineage: Bacteria
Description: partial 16S ribosomal RNA
Rfam family: Bacterial small subunit ribosomal RNA
Source: RNAcentral